RNAcentral lists this ribosomal RNA (253 nucleotides) under uncultured bacterium. RNAcentral describes it as "partial 16S ribosomal RNA". It matches the Rfam family "Bacterial small subunit ribosomal RNA", at positions 524 to 776 of the family's 1533-position model. The record is from RNAcentral.
UACGUAGGGCGCAAGCGUUAUCCGGAAUUAUUGGGCGUAAGGAGCUCGUAGGCGGUUUGUCGCGUCUGCCGUGAAAGUCCGGGGCUCAACUCCGGAUCUGCGGUGGGUACGGGCAGACUAGAGUGAUGUAGGGGAGACUGGAAUUCCUGGUGUAGCGGUGAAAUGCGCAGAUAUCAGGAGGAACACCGAUGGCGAAGGCAGGUCUCUGGGCAUUAACUGACGCUGAGGAGCGAAAGCAUGGGGAGCGAGCAGG